This 385-nucleotide ribosomal RNA is filed under the name uncultured bacterium. RNAcentral describes it as "bacterial SSU rRNA". It matches the Rfam family "Bacterial small subunit ribosomal RNA", at positions 29 to 442 of the family's 1533-position model. The record is from RNAcentral.
AACGAACGCUGGCGGCAUGCCUAACACAUGCAAGUCGAACGAAGGCUUCGGCCUUAGUGGCGCACGGGUGCGUAACGCGUGGGAAUCUGCCCCUCGGUUCGGAAUAACAGUUAGAAAUGACUGCUAAUACCGGAUGAUGACUUCGGUCCAAAGAUUUAUCGCCGAGGGAUGAGCCCGCGUAGGAUUAGGUAGUUGGUGGGUAAAGGCCUACCAAGCCGACGAUCCUUAGCUGGUCUGAGAGGAUGAUCAGCCACACUGGGACUGAGACACGGCCCAGACUCCUACGGGAGGCAGCAGUGGGGAAUAUUGGACAAUGGGCGAAAGCCUGAUCCAGCAAUGCCGCGUGAGUGAUGAAGGCCUUAGGGUUGUAAAGCUCUUUUACCCG